This is a long non-coding RNA of Xiphophorus hellerii (green swordtail), 1961 nucleotides long. RefSeq lists it as uncharacterized. The transcript has 2 exons. The record is from RefSeq and is a predicted model, not a curated record. NCBI's taxonomy places the organism in Eukaryota, Metazoa, Chordata, Actinopteri, Cyprinodontiformes, Poeciliidae.
GAUAUCCUGUACAUGUAGAAAUUAUUAAAGCACAAAGUGAAAAAUAGAAAAAAAUACAGAACCAUGUUUGGGUCAGACAGUAAAGAAAUAACUAGCAGCUAAUUUAGAGAUAAUUAUUUAUGAAAUAUAUGUUUUAAUGGAAUGAAACUUCAUGUUUUAUUCCAUUUUUACUGCUGAUAGAAAAAUGACUUCUAUUUGAGAAGUUUUUUUUUUCUCGGAGUCACCAGCAGGUGGCAGCAGCGCCUCCUCUCAUGCAUCCAGUCAUGAAGUUUGGACCAGACUCGGCUUUUUCUCUCAUUAAACCGGUUCGUCUACCAGUUUUCUUCCAUUUAACGGAGUCGAAAGACGGCUAGAAGCGGGGACAGCUCGCCGGGAUAGGACGGCAGCGAGAUUGGUGUCUGAGCCGGUAUUUCAUUUUGGUUUGCGGACGUUAGAAGGGAGGAGUUAGCUGGAAGCAAACCGGCUAACAUAGCCAAUCCCAGCAGCUCCAGUAGGAUUUUACUGAAAGUAACUGAUUUUGUCCGGCUGUUGUCUGACUACUCGGCCUGUUGAUUUACUGCUGAUGUUCUGUGAUGUUUUUCAGGGUUCAUUCAACUCAGAGGAGGCGGAGAACGUCGUCAAAGAGCCCCAUCACCACCGCCGCACUGGGAGGGGAGUGCAUCUCAGUUAGAGCAUCUAUUUACAUUCACUCACCGCUUCGCUCAGCUGUCCGCGCCUCCCUUCCCUCCUCACGACGACGAGACACAAAGUAGUGGGCCGGUGUCAAGCGCUGCUUUUAAGUGCCAGUCCUGCCCGUAGCGUUGAGCCUGGCCGCCCGCAUCACAUCAUCCCUCCGCCCUCACCAGCCCCGCGGCUCGCUGCGCUGCUGGCGGCCGAGCUGUGCGCUCUCUCUCUGCGCCAGAUGAUCCCCGGAGCUACGCGGCGUGGCGCUGUGGAGCCCUCUCCUUCUCUCUCUCAGCGCAACCGGCCAAUAGGAGCCGCGAACGGAAGACGCUGGGAGCACGAAGCGGAGGGACGCAGCCGUAAUAAAUCUACCGGAGUUAGUUUGCAACUCAGGUAAUGAAAUCACACAUCAUCGGGUUGUUACAUCACGCAGCACACUGAACACAGACGGCUGCUCUUAAAGAGCCAGGCAAGAAUCAAGAUGUUUCGUGUGGAGCUGGUAAAGGCACAGAAAGAGAUCCUCGUCGCCAGUGUUGUGGUUUGUUAUAUUGAAAUGGUGGAAAUAUAAGCAUCAGACGUAGUUCAGCUUCAGUUUUCUCUUUACUCUCUCGUGUUCUCUUCUUGUUCCAAGGCUCCAACACAUUUUCGUUUUUAGAUUCCCACCCUUCUUCAGACCUAAUUUCCAAAAUUGUCAGUAAACAUUUUACAGCGUAGAAAAAAAUAUUUUCAAUUAAUUUAUAGAUGAAUUUUUUUGGAUGAUUGGACACUAUAGAAACUGUAUUGUAAAAUAAAAGGUUGUUUAUAUCAAUGUCAAAUUGUGAGGUCUAGUUUGUUCAUCCAUCGUCUUCUGGUGCCCAUCUCCUGUAGGUCAUUGGGUGAGAGGCUGGACAGGUCACUAGUCCAUCACAGGACAAACAAGCAUGUACACUCGCUCAUAGCAAAAUAAAAUUUAGAAAGACCAAUUAACUAAUUAAAAAUAAAGUCAUGUUUUUGAAUGGGUACUUUGGUGUGGGUGCCAAUUACCCAAAGAGAACACAUGCAUGCACAGAGACUAUUUAAGUUUAAUCAAAUUAGAUAUCAGACUUUCACAGAAAGUCAGAAACUCAGUUGGAAUUUUAAAAAGUUUUUUUUACUUAAAAAUUUGCAUUUCAACAGAGUAAACAUCCUCCUCAAAAUUAACACUGGCACAGCUGGUUAGCAAGUUUGGCUGAGGCGACAAUUCUGAAAUGGUUGCUUUACAACAAAAGACACAUUAACCACAGGUUAUGGGUUGAAAUAUGACACUGAUACAACACAGC